ACAUUUGUGGUUUAGUAGUAGAACUCUCCCCUUCCAUGUGGGAGACCUGGGUUCUACUCCUAGCUGUUGUU
This 71-nucleotide transfer RNA is filed under the name Loxodonta africana (African savanna elephant). It matches the Rfam family "tRNA". From Rfam's summary of the family: Transfer RNA (tRNA) molecules are approximately 80 nucleotides in length. The record is from Rfam by way of RNAcentral. Lineage: Eukaryota; Metazoa; Chordata; Mammalia; Proboscidea; Elephantidae.